This 249-nucleotide ribosomal RNA is filed under the name Comamonas sp. R-28236. Its description in RNAcentral is "16S ribosomal RNA". It matches the Rfam family "Bacterial small subunit ribosomal RNA", at positions 22 to 273 of the family's 1533-position model. The record is from RNAcentral. Lineage: Bacteria; Pseudomonadati; Pseudomonadota; Betaproteobacteria; Burkholderiales; Comamonadaceae.
GCUCAGAUUGAACGCUGGCGGCAUGCCUUACACAUGCAAGUCGAACGGUAACAGGUCUUUCGGGAUGCUGACGAGUGGCGAACGGGUGAGUAAUACAUCGGAACGUGCCUAGUAGUGGGGGAUAACUACUCGAAAGAGUGGCUAAUACCGCAUGAGAUCUAUGGAUGAAAGCAGGGGACCUUCGGGCCUUGUGCUACUAGAGCGGCCGAUGGCAGAUUAGGUAGUUGGUGGGAUAAAAGCUUACCAAGC